GUCUCUGUGGCUCAGUUGGAAGAGCGUUGGUCUCAUAUUUCUAUGAAUAUGACUCAGGCAGCAAGCCAGGGACAUCCAAAGGUCGCAAGUUCGAGCCUUGCCAGGGACA
This 109-nucleotide transfer RNA is filed under the name Colletotrichum incanum. It matches the Rfam family "tRNA". Rfam says of the family: Transfer RNA (tRNA) molecules are approximately 80 nucleotides in length. Their secondary structure includes four short double-helical elements and three loops (D, anti-codon, and T loops). The record is from Rfam by way of RNAcentral. Lineage: Eukaryota; Fungi; Ascomycota; Sordariomycetes; Glomerellales; Glomerellaceae.